AGUUAAUUAGUUUAAAUAAAACAUAUAUUUUGAAAAUAUAAAAUAGGAACCCUUAUUAACUU
This 62-nucleotide transfer RNA is filed under the name Sinocentrus brevicornis. Its description in RNAcentral is "tRNA-Ser". The record is from RNAcentral. Lineage: Eukaryota; Metazoa; Arthropoda; Insecta; Hemiptera; Membracidae.